UACAGGGGGGGCAAGCGUUGUUCGGAAUUACUGGGCGUAAAGGGCUCGUAGGCGGCCAACUAAGUCCGACGUGAAAUCCCAAAGCUUAACUUUGGAACUGCGUCGGAUACUGGAUGGCUUGAAUUCGGGAGAGGGAUGCAGAAUUCCAGGUGUAGCAGUGAAAUGCGUAGAUAUCAAGUGGAACACCAGUGGCGAAGGCGAGUCUCUGGACGAUUCCUGACACUGAGGCACGAAAGCCAGGGGAGCAAACGGG
RNAcentral lists this ribosomal RNA (253 nucleotides) under uncultured bacterium. RNAcentral describes it as "partial 16S ribosomal RNA". It matches the Rfam family "Bacterial small subunit ribosomal RNA", at positions 524 to 776 of the family's 1533-position model. The record is from RNAcentral.